ACCAUAUAUAGCGUUAGAGGUUCCUUGAUUCGAGAGAAUUGAAGGCUAAGACGGGAAUACGGUGCGCGGCUUCCAUAUGGAAACCGCUAUGCCGGAGCUGCCCCCGCAACUGUAAGCGGCGAGCGUGCGUUCCAUCAAGCCACUGGCGCCGGAGGGUGCUGGGAAGGCGGGAUGCAUGUGACGACCUGCGAGCCAGGAGACCUGCCUCGAGCAAAACGUCCAC
RNAcentral lists this non-coding RNA (223 nucleotides) under Rhizobium sp. Lineage: Bacteria; Pseudomonadati; Pseudomonadota; Alphaproteobacteria; Hyphomicrobiales; Rhizobiaceae. The record is from RNAcentral.